Molecule: non-coding RNA, 18 nt
Filed under: Rattus norvegicus (Norway rat)
Lineage: Eukaryota; Metazoa; Chordata; Mammalia; Rodentia; Muridae
Source: RNAcentral
UGAUUGGUGUCUUUCGCA